This 305-nucleotide ribosomal RNA is filed under the name uncultured bacterium. RNAcentral describes it as "bacterial SSU rRNA". It matches the Rfam family "Bacterial small subunit ribosomal RNA", at positions 333 to 656 of the family's 1533-position model. The record is from RNAcentral.
GUACCUACGGGGCGCAGCAGUCGGGAAUAUUGCACAAUGGAGGAAACUCUGAUGCAGUGACGCCGCGUGCAGGAAGAAGGCUUUCGGAUUGUAAACUGCUUUAGAUAGGGAAGAUAAAAGACUGUACCUAUAGAAUAAGCUCCGGCUAACUACGUGCCAGCAGCCGCGGUAAUACGUAGGGAGCAAGCGUUAUCCGGAUUUAUUGGGUGUAAAGGGUGCGUAGACGGGAAUUUAAGUUAGUUGUGAAAUUCCUCGGCUUAACUGAGGUACUGCAACUAAAACUGGAUUUCUUGAGUGCGGUUGAG